CGGCGGGUGCUAACGUCCGUCGUGAAGAGGGAAACAACCCAGACCGCCAGCUAAGGUCCCAAAGUCAUGGUUAAGUGGGAAACGAUGUGGGAAGGCCCAGACAGCCAGGAUGUUGGCUUAGAAGCAGCCAUCAUUUAAAGAAAGCGUAAUAGCUCACUGGUCGAGUCGGCCUGCGCGGAAGAUGUAACGGGGCUAAACCAUGCACCGAAGCUGCGGCAGCGACACUAUGUGUUGUUGGGUAGGGGAGCGUUCUGUAAGCCUGUGAAGGUGGCCUGUGAGGGUUGCUGGAGGUAUCAGAAGUGCGAAUGCUGACAUAAGUAACGAUAAAGCGGGUGAAAAGCCCGCUCGCCGGAAGACCAAGGGUUCCUGUCCAACGUUAAUCGGGGCAGGGUGAGUCGACCCCUAAGGCGAGGCCGAAAGGCGUAGUCGAUGGGAAACAGGUUAAUAUUCCUGUACUUGGUGUUACUGCGAAGGGGGGACGGAGAAGGCUAUGUUGGCCGGGCGACGGUUGUCCCGGUUUAAGCGUGUAGGCUGGUUUUCCAGGCAAAUCCGGAAAACCAAGGCUGAGGCGUGAUGACGAGGCACUACGGUGCUGAAGCGACAAAUGCCCUGCUUCCAGGAAAAGCCUCUAAGCAUCAGGUAACAUCAAAUCGUACCCCAAACCGACACAGGUGGUCAGGUAGAGAAUACCAAGGCGCUUGAGAGAACUCGGGUGAAGGAACUAGGCAAAAUGGUGCCGUAACUUCGGGAGAAGGCACGCUGAUAUGUAGGUGAAGCGACUUGCUCGUGGAGCUGAAAUCAGUCGAAGAUACCAGCUGGCUGCAACUGUUUAUUAAAAACACAGCACUGUGCAAACACGAAAGUGGACGUAUACGGUGUGACGCCUGCCCGGUGCCGGAAGGUUAAUUGAUGGGGUUAGCGGCAACGCGAAGCUCUUGAUCGAAGCCCCGGUAAACGGCGGCCGUAACUAUAACGGUCCUAAGGUAGCGAAAUUCCUUGUCGGGUAAGUUCCGACCUGCACGAAUGGCGUAAUGAUGGCCAGGCUGUCUCCACCCGAGACUCAGUGAAAUUGAACUCGCUGUGAAGAUGCAGUGUACCCGCGGCAAGACGGAAAGACCCCGUGAACCUUUACUAUAGCUUGACACUGAACAUUGAGCCUUGAUGUGUAGGAUAGGUGGGAGGCUUUGAAGUGUGGACGCCAGUCUGCAUGGAGCCGACCUUGAAAUACCACCCUUUAAUGUUUGAUGUUCUAACGUUG
This 1258-nucleotide ribosomal RNA is filed under the name Escherichia coli. Its description in RNAcentral is "partial 23S ribosomal RNA". It matches the Rfam family "Bacterial large subunit ribosomal RNA", at positions 989 to 2230 of the family's 2925-position model. Lineage: Bacteria; Pseudomonadati; Pseudomonadota; Gammaproteobacteria; Enterobacterales; Enterobacteriaceae. The record is from RNAcentral.